Molecule: transfer RNA, 74 nt
Filed under: Acidobacteriota bacterium
Lineage: Bacteria; Pseudomonadati; Acidobacteriota
Description: tRNA-Gln
Rfam family: tRNA
About the family: Transfer RNA (tRNA) molecules are approximately 80 nucleotides in length. Their secondary structure includes four short double-helical elements and three loops (D, anti-codon, and T loops).
Source: RNAcentral
UGGGAGAUCGUCUAAUGGUAGGACUCUAGUCUCUGGAUCUAGCUAUCGGGGUUCGAAUCCCUGUCUCCCAGCCA